RNAcentral lists this ribosomal RNA (120 nucleotides) under Agaricomycetes sp. Its description in RNAcentral is "partial small subunit ribosomal RNA". It matches the Rfam family "Eukaryotic small subunit ribosomal RNA", at positions 1352 to 1493 of the family's 1831-position model. The record is from RNAcentral. Lineage: Eukaryota; Fungi; Basidiomycota; Agaricomycetes.
UAAAUAGUCCGGCCGGCUUUUGCUGGUCGCAGACUUCUUAGAGGGACUGUCAGCGUCUAGCUGACGGAAGUUUGAGGCAAUAACAGGUCUGUGAUGCCCUUAGAUGUUCUGGGCUGCACG